RNAcentral lists this ribosomal RNA (496 nucleotides) under uncultured bacterium. Its description in RNAcentral is "partial 16S ribosomal RNA". It matches the Rfam family "Bacterial small subunit ribosomal RNA", at positions 28 to 506 of the family's 1533-position model. The record is from RNAcentral.
GAUGAACGCUGGCGGCGUGCCUAAUACAUGCAAGUCGAGCGAACGGACGAGAAGCUUGCUUCUCUGAUGUUAGCGGCGGACGGGUGAGUAACACGUGGAUAACCUACCUAUAAGACUGGGAUAACUUCGGGAAACCGGAGCUAAUACCGGAUAAUAUUUUGAACCGCAUGGUUCAAAAGUAAAAGACGGUCUUGCUGUCACUUAUAGAUGGAUCCGCGCUGCAUUAGCUAGUUGGUAAGGUAACGGCUUACCAAGGCAACGAUGCAUAGCCGACCUGAGAGGGUGAUCGGCCGCACUGGAACUGAGACACGGUCCAGACUCCUACGGGAGGCAGCAGUAGGGAAUCUUCCGCAAUGGGCGAAAGCCUGACGGAGCAACGCAGCGUGAGUGAUGAAGGUCUUCGGAUCGUAAAACUCUGUUAUUAGGGAAGAACAUAUGUGUAAGUAACUGUGCACAUCUUGACGGUACCUAAUCAGAAAGCCACGGCUAACUACGU